GGGAGUGGAUGGGUCCUGGUGGGUUCCCUGGACUUCAAAUCCAGUGGCGCGUGGGUAACGCCCGGGCGCGGUGGGUUCGAUUCCCACACACUCCCGCCA
This 99-nucleotide transfer RNA is filed under the name Clostridia bacterium. RNAcentral describes it as "tRNA-Sec". It matches the Rfam family "Selenocysteine transfer RNA". Lineage: Bacteria; Bacillati; Bacillota; Clostridia. The record is from RNAcentral.